AGAGAUCUGGUGAACCCAACUCAUGCAGCACCGCGGAGGUAAGCCUCAGGACACAUUCGGGGACAGAGAGAAGAGGAACAUGGAUCUGGAAGAGCAGACUGAGAAAAUUGCCAGAACAUCUUUUAAUGCAGUAGGAAACAUGAAACAGAUGAAAUGAUUGAGUAUUAAGAAAAAGAAGAGUUGUGUGCUGGUCAGCAGAGAAGAGUUGCUCUGGGAGAAGUAAGCUGUCAUGUUGUAAGUUACCCUUUGGAGAGGUCCAUUCGGCAAGGGACUGAAGGAGGCCUCCAGCUAACAGCCGGUGAGACUGUUAGUCCAAUAACCUGUGAGGACCUGAAUUUAGCCAACAACCAUGUGAGUGAGCCUGGAAGCAGACCGUCCCCAGUAGAACCUUCGGAUGAAAGCACAGCCCUGCCAAAACCUGGACUGUAGCCUUGUGAGAGACCUUGAGACAGAGGAUCCAGGUAAACCACACCUAGAUUCCUGACCCACAGAAACUGUCAGCCAUGAGAAGAACAUGCCCCAGGUAGCUGCUGGCCCCAGAAUGAAGACACAUGUGGAACAAACCUUAACCCAAGUUGAAGCUUGGAGCUGAGCCGAGCUAAACUACACCUAAUCUUCAGAUCCCUGAGCUAGAAAUAAAUGCUUAUUGUUUAAAAAGUCA
Camelus dromedarius (Arabian camel) is the source of this 661-nucleotide long non-coding RNA. RefSeq lists it as uncharacterized. The record is from RefSeq and is a predicted model, not a curated record. NCBI's taxonomy places the organism in Eukaryota, Metazoa, Chordata, Mammalia, Artiodactyla, Camelidae. The transcript has 3 exons.